RNAcentral lists this ribosomal RNA (477 nucleotides) under uncultured bacterium. RNAcentral describes it as "partial 16S ribosomal RNA". It matches the Rfam family "Bacterial small subunit ribosomal RNA", at positions 30 to 507 of the family's 1533-position model. The record is from RNAcentral.
AUUGAACGCUGGCGGCAUGCCUUACACAUGCAAGUCGAACGGUAACAGGUUAAGCUGACGAGUGGCGAACGGGUGAGUAAUACAUCGGAACGUGCCCAGUAGUGGGGGAUAGCCCGGCGAAAGCCGGAUUAAUACCGCAUACGACCCAAGGGUGAAAGGGGGGGAUCGCAAGACCUCUCGCUAUUGGAGCGGCCGAUGUCAGAUUAGCUAGUUGGUGGGGUAAAAGCUCACCAAGGCGACGAUCUGUAGCUGGUCUGAGAGGACGACCAGCCACACUGGGACUGAGACACGGCCCAGACUCCUACGGGAGGCAGCAGUGGGGAAUUCUGGACAAUGGGCGCAAGCCUGAUCCAGCCAUGCCGCGUGCGGGAAGAAGGCCUUCGGGUUGGAAACCGCUUUUGUCAGGGAAGAAAUCCUUUGGGUUAAUACCUCGGGGGGAUGACGGUACCUGAAGAAUAAGCACCGGCUAACUACGUG